AUUCGCGCGACGGGUUUCGCAGAAAUAAGCCCCCGGCUAACUACGUGGCCAGGCAGGCGGGGGUAAUAGGGUAGGGAUGCAAGCGUUAAUCGGAAUACUGGGAGGUAAAGCGUGGGGUAGGGCGGUAGGAUAAUGAAUAUGACUCGCAGCGCCUCCAUCCUGGGACUGCAUUUUUAACUGGCGAGCUAGGAGGUAUGUCAGAGGGGGGGUAGAACUUCACGUGUAGCAGUGAAAUGCGUAGAUAUGUGGAGGAAUACCGAUGGCGAAGGGCAGCUCCCUGGGAUAUACUGACGCUCAGACACGAAAGGGGUGGGGAGCAAACAGGAUUAGAUACCCUGGUAGUCCACGCCCUAAACGAUGUCAACUAGCUGUUGGGGCCGUUAGGCCUUAGUAGCGCAGCUAACGCGUGAAGUUGACCGCCUGGGGAGUACGGUCGCAAGAUUAAAACUCAAAGGAAUUGACGCGGACCCGCACAAGCGGUGGAUGUAUGUGGAUUAAUUCGAUGCAACGCGAAAAACCUUACCUACCCUUGACAUGUAUGGAAAGCCGAAGAGAUUUGGCCGUGCUCGCAAGAGAACCGGAACACAGGUGCUGCAUGGCUGUCGUCAGCUCGUGUCGUCAGAUGUUGGGUUAAGUCCCGCAACGAGCGCAACCCUUGUCAUUAGUUGAUACGCAAGAGCACUAUAAUGAGCCUGCCGGUGACAAACCGGAGGAAGGUGGGGAUGACGUCAAGUCCUCUAACCCUUAUGGGUAGGGCUUCACAAGUCAUGCAUUGGUCGGGACAGAGCCUCGCCAACCCGGGAGGGGGAGCCAAUCUCAGAAACCCGAUCGUAAUCCGGAUCGCAGUCUGCAACUAGACUGCGUGAAGUAGGAAUUGGUAGUAAUCGGGGAUCGGAAGGUCGCGCUGAAUACGUUCCCGGGUCUUGUACACCCCGCCCGUCACGCCAUGGGAGUGGGUUUCACCAGAAGUAGGUAGCCUAACCGUAAGGAGGGCGCUUACCACGGUGGGACUCAUACAAGUGACGUACGGCCGCGUCACCGCGAAAAGCA
This 1050-nucleotide ribosomal RNA is filed under the name Alcaligenes sp. SS06. RNAcentral's name for it is "bacterial SSU rRNA". It matches the Rfam family "Bacterial small subunit ribosomal RNA", at positions 463 to 1510 of the family's 1533-position model. Lineage: Bacteria; Pseudomonadati; Pseudomonadota; Betaproteobacteria; Burkholderiales; Alcaligenaceae. The record is from RNAcentral.